AGUUAAGUGACUAAGCGUACACGGUGGAUGCCUUGGCAAUCAGAGGCGAAGAAGGACGUGCUAAUCUGCGAAAAGCGUGGGGGAGCUGAUAAGGAGCGCAAAUCCCACGAUGUCCGAAUGGGGAAACCCGAUAGGUGAAGAAUCUAUCAUUGUUGUCUGAAUUCAUAGGGCAACAAGGCAAACCGGGAGAACUGAAACAUCUAAGUACCCCGAGGAAAAGAAAUCAACCGAGAUUCUGCGAGUAGCGGCGAGCGAAAGCGGAGGAGCCAGCGAGUGAUAGCAUAAGUUUUAGGAGAAUUGUCUGGGAAGGCAAGCGAGAGAGGGUGACAGCCCCGUAUCCGAAAAGACGGAUGUGGUACUAAGCACGCGAGAAGUAGGGCGGGACACGAGGAAUCCUGUUUGAAGAAGGGGGGACCAUCCUCCAAGGCUAAAUACUCCUGAUUGACCGAUAGUGGACCAGUACCGUGAGGGAAAGGCGAAAAGAACCCCGGGAGGGGAGUGAAAGAGAACCUGAAACCGUGUACGUACAAGCAGUGGGAGCCUGAAAGGGUGACUGCGUACCUUUUGUAUAAUGGGUCAGCGACUUAUAUUUUGUAGCGAGGUUAACCGGAUAGGGGAGCCGAAGGGAAACCGAGUCUUAACUGGGCGGUUAGUUGCAAGAUAUAGACCCGAAACCCGGUGAUCUAGCCAUGGGCAGGAAGAAGGUUGGGUAACACUAACUGGAGGGCCGAACCGACUACUGUUGAAAAAGUAGCGGAUGACCUGUGGCUGGGGGUGAAAGGCCAAUCAAACCGGGAGAUAGCUGGUUCUCCCCGAAAUCUAUUUAGGUAGAGCCUUAUAUGAAUACCUUCGGGGGUAGAGCACUGUUUCGGCUAGGGGUCCAUCCCGGAUUACCAACCCGAUGCAAACUGCGAAUACCGAAGAGUAAUGUAUAGGAGACACACGGCGGGUGCUAACGUUCGUCGUGGAGAGGGAAACAACCCAGACCGCCAGCUAAGGUCCCAAAGUCUAUAUUAAGUGGGAAACGAAGUGGAAAGGCUUAGACAGCUAGGAUGUUGGCUUAGAAGCAGCCACCAUUUAAAGAAAGCGUAAUAGCUCACUAGUCGAGUCGGUCUGCGCGGAAGAUGUAACGGGGCUAAAAUAUAGCACCGAAGCUGCGGCAUCAGGCGUAUCACACAUACGCCUUACGAUUAACACCUUGCGGAGCAAGGUGGUCAAGCGACUUACACGUUGAGGUGUGAGCGGGAGGGAUAAUCGAAGAGAGGAAUAUGUGUGAUACGUCUGUUGGGUAGGGGAGCGUUGUGUAAGCUGAAGAAGGUGGUUCGAGAGGGCUGCUGGAGGUAUCACAAGUGCGAAUGCUGACAUAAGUAACGAUAAAGCGGGUGAAAGGCCCGCUCGCCGGAAGACCAAGGUUUCCUGUCCAACGUUAAUCGGGGCAGGGUGAGUCGGCCCCUAAGGCGAGGCUGAGAAGCGUAGUCGAUGGGAAAUGGGUUAAUAUUCCCAUACUUGGAUAAACUGCGAUGUGGGGACGGAGCAGGUUAGGUUAGCGUACGGAUGGAAGAGUACGUUUAAGUUGGUAGGUGGGGUGUUUAGGCAAAUCCGGGCACCUGAUAACACUGAGAGAUGAUGACGAGGCUCUACGGAGCUGAAGUAACUGAUACCCAACUUCCAGGAAAAGCCACUAAGCUUCAGGUUUAUCUAAACCGUACUGGAAACCGACACAGGUGGUCAGGUAGAGAAUACUAAGGCGCUUGAGAGAACUCGGGUGAAGGAACUAGGCAAAAUAGCACCGUAACUUCGGGAGAAGGUGCGCUGGCGUAGUGUGAAGUUCUUCGCGAAUGGAGCAUGAACCAGUCGAAGCGACGAGCUGGCUGCAACUGUUUAAUAAAAACACAGCACUCUGCAAACACGAAAGUGGACGUAUAGGGUGUGAUGCCUGCCCGGUGCUGGAAGGUUAAUUGAUGGUGUCAUCGAAAGAGAAGCACCUGAUCGAAGCCCCAGUAAACGGCGGCCGUAACUAUAACGGUCCUAAGGUAGCGAAAUUCCUUGUCGGGUAAGUUCCGACCUGCACGAAUGGCAUAAUGAUGGCCAGGCUGUCUCCACCCGAGACUCAGUGAAAUUGAAAUCGCCGUGAAGAUGCGGUGUACCCGCGGCUAGACGGAAAGACCCCGUGAACCUUUACUAUAGCUUGACACUGAACCUUGAAUUUUAAUGUGUAGGAUAGGUGGGAGACUAAGAAGCGGUAACGCCAGUUAUCGUGGAGUCGGUGUUGAAAUACCACCCUUUAACGUUUGAUGUUCUAACGAGGCGCCUGGGACAGGUGUUCGGACAGUGUCUGGUGGGUAGUUUGACUGGGGCGGUCUCCUCCCAAAGCGUAACGGAGGAGCACGAAGGUUGGCUAAUGACGGUCGGACAUCGUCAGGUUAGUGCAAUGGUAGAAGCCAGCUUAACUGCGAGACGGACAAGUCGAGCAGGUACGAAAGUAGGUCAUAGUGAUCCGGUGGUUCUGAAUGGAAGGGCCAUCGCUCAACGGAUAAAAGGUACUCCGGGGAUAACAGGCUGAUACCGCCCAAGAGUUCAUAUCGACGGCGGUGUUUGGCACCUCGAUGUCGGCUCAUCACAUCCUGGGGCUGAAGUAGGUCCCAAGGGUAUGGCUGUUCGCCAUUUAAAGUGGUACGCGAGCUGGGUUUAGAACGUCGUGAGACAGUUCGGUCCCUAUCUGCCGUGGGCGUUGGAGGAUUGAGGGGGGUUGCUCCUAGUACGAGAGGACCGGAGUGAACGCACCGCUGGUGUUCGGGUUGUCAUGCCAAUGGCAUUGCCCGGUAGCUAAGUGCGGAAGAGAUAAGUGCUGAAAGCAUCUAAGCACGAAACUUGCCCCGAGAUGAGUUCUCCCUGACGUAGAGUCAGUAAGGGUUGUUGAAGACGACGACGUAGAUAGGUGGGGUGUGUAAGCGGUGUGAGCCGUUGAGCUAACCCAUACUAAUUGCCCGAGAGGCUUAACUAU
RNAcentral lists this ribosomal RNA (3004 nucleotides) under Gallibacterium anatis. Its description in RNAcentral is "23S ribosomal RNA". It matches the Rfam family "Bacterial large subunit ribosomal RNA". Lineage: Bacteria; Pseudomonadati; Pseudomonadota; Gammaproteobacteria; Pasteurellales; Pasteurellaceae. The record is from RNAcentral.